AUCAGUUAUUCCAAACGGAUAACACUCCCACCACCACUAACUACCACACAUGGCUUGCACUUCCUUCCCCUCACCGCCGACCACCGUCGCCGCCGUCAACCACCACACCCUGCAACCACCCUCCACCUCUCUCUCCCCCUGUUCCUCCUUCCUCACCACCAACCUCCACCACCGUCGACUCACCACCAGGCUCCACGUGUCCUCUCCCACUAACAAGCCCGCUGGCACCACCACCACCCAAAAGCCUGCCGGAGAAACCGUCUUCUUCGACGGCGGAGCCCACUACGGGGACCUCGUUGCGAACCUUCUUCUGGGCUUCACCUUGCUCUGGCUGCCCCUGACCUUAGCGGCGGUGUCUCGGGCUCUGUUCCUCCGGUACAGGUUCACCAACUUCAGAGUCUCUGUUAUCUCUGGCUUCACCGGCCAGGACCGGAGCGAUUUCUCGUAUAAGGUGAUAAAGGAUGUUCAGGUUGUGCCACGGUUCAUUGGUGAGUGGGGUGACAUUGUCAUCACAUUGAAGGAUGGCACCAAGGUGGACCUGAGAAGUGUCCCAAAGUUCAGAGAAAUUGCCAAGUAUUGCCUCUCCAUGGCAAAGGAGUCUCAGGAUUUGAAUGAAACUGGGCCUAAAGGCUUCUGAUACAGGUUUUCUAAUUCCUCUUUUCUCAUACAGGUGGGGUUGGGAAGCGAAGAUGCAUCUUUGAACAAAGGUUGGAAUUACUUGAGCCAUCAUGCUUGGAGACACCUUCCUGGAAAUUUCUCUCCCUCAUCUCCAAAGCAGUGAUGAUUAAUUUCUCAGUGCUAGUGUGCUGCUGCUAAGAGAGGAUACUUUGCCCAAGUGGUUGGGUUGGGAGAAUAAUCUAUCUCCUUCAAAUGUUUGGACUGACAAAUAGAGCCAAGUCCCACACUUGGUCAUUCCCAUACUUUCCUCAUCAAUGGCUAUCAUCUGAUACACUCUGUCACUGCAAAAGAAAAGAAGCAAGAAGGACCAACCUCAAGUCACAAAAGGAACUGAAACUGGGGUUUGCUGGUUCAUUGGGACUUUUGACCAUGUUCAAGGAGUCUUCAUUUAUUGUUUUUCCUAUAUAUAAAAAGAAAUGGUGUUUUUCAUUUAGUAAUUUUUAUUCCUCAGACAAAAGCAAAACUAUGCAGCAGAGUGAAAGAAAGAAGAGGUGUUGUCAAGUCAUGGGUGAAUGAAGCAGAGCCAGAUGAGCUGUUGUGUAAGUGCCAUCUUUAUUGAAAGAUGCUAAAGAGAUAGACCCAUUUGGAAUAUGACAGAAUUUUUUUUCAUUCUGAGUUCCUCUUUGACACUUUGUAGGUUUGGUUCUGCUAUUAGGCCCCUACUUUUAUUAUCCAAUGCAACCCUCCUCCUUUAAAGUUUAUAUCCAAAUCAAAUCCCAUUCAAU
RNA transcript from Lotus japonicus, 1403 nucleotides. RefSeq lists it as uncharacterized. The record is from RefSeq and is a predicted model, not a curated record. NCBI's taxonomy places the organism in Eukaryota, Viridiplantae, Streptophyta, Magnoliopsida, Fabales, Fabaceae. The transcript has 3 exons.